CCUACGGGAGGCAGCAGUGAGGAAUAUUGGUCAAUGGACGAGAGUCUGAACCAGCCAAGUAGCGUGAAGGAUGACUGCCCUAUGGGUUGUAAACUUCUUUUAUAUGGGAAUAAAAUGUUCCACGUGUGGGAUUUUGUAUGUACCAUAUCAAUAAGGAUCGGCUAACUCCGUGCCAGCAGCCGCGGUAAUACGGAGGAUCCGAGCGUUAUCCGGAUUUAUUGGGUGUAAAGGGAGAGUAGGUGGAGUGUUAAGUCAGUUGUGAAAGUUUGCGGAUCAAACAUAGUAUUGCAGUUGAAACUGGCAGUCUUGAGUACAGGAGAGGAGGGCGGAAUUCGUGGUGUAGCGGUGAAAUGCGUAGAUAUCACGAAGAACUCCGGUUGCGAAGGCAGCUUCCUGGACUGAAACUGACGCUGAGGCACGAAAGUGUGGGGAUCAAACAGGAUUAGAUACCCCGGUAGUC
Molecule: ribosomal RNA, 460 nt
Filed under: uncultured bacterium
Lineage: Bacteria
Description: partial 16S ribosomal RNA
Rfam family: Bacterial small subunit ribosomal RNA
Source: RNAcentral